RNAcentral lists this long non-coding RNA (378 nucleotides) under Nicotiana benthamiana. RNAcentral describes it as "long non-coding RNA (NBEN_LNC033702)". Lineage: Eukaryota; Viridiplantae; Streptophyta; Magnoliopsida; Solanales; Solanaceae. The record is from RNAcentral.
AAGUAUAAGUUGUUAAGCGAUCGCGCUAAAAUCACAGAACUCGGGAGUGCCUAACACCUUCUCCCUGGUUAACAGAAUUUCUUACCUGAUCUUUUGAUUUUGCAGAUUUAAAAAAACAAAGUCAAUUCCCUUGAAUUGGGAUUUUAAAAUAAAUGGUGACUUGGGACACCAAAACUCAAUUCCAAGUGGCGACUCUUAAAUAUAAAUAAAAUAAUCUCAUUUCGAAUAAUGUCACUUUAAUUAUAAAAACUCUCAUACCACCUCGGGGUGUAUUAAAAAGGAGGUGUGACAGCUAUAGCGACUCCGUUGAGGAUAUAACCUAGAACUUCUGUUCUGGGAUCAGAAUUCGAGCUUGUAAUAUGAUUUACACUUGGCUUU